RNAcentral lists this ribosomal RNA (253 nucleotides) under uncultured bacterium. RNAcentral describes it as "partial 16S ribosomal RNA". It matches the Rfam family "Bacterial small subunit ribosomal RNA", at positions 524 to 776 of the family's 1533-position model. The record is from RNAcentral.
UACGUAGGGGGCAAGCGUUGUCCGGAAUUACUGGGCGUAAAGCGCGUGUAGGCGGCUUUGCAAGUCGGGUGUGAAAGCCCUCAGCUCAACUGAGGAAGUGCGCCCGAAACUGCAGAGCUUGAGUACCGGAGAGGGUGGCGGAAUUCCCCAAGUAGAGGUGAAAUUCGUAGAUAUGGGGAGGAACACCGGUGGCGAAGGCGGCCACCUGGACGGUCACUGACGCUGAGACGCGAAAGCGUGGGGAGCAAACAGG